Molecule: ribosomal RNA, 277 nt
Filed under: uncultured Staphylococcus sp.
Lineage: Bacteria; Bacillati; Bacillota; Bacilli; Caryophanales; Staphylococcaceae
Description: partial 16S ribosomal RNA
Rfam family: Bacterial small subunit ribosomal RNA
Source: RNAcentral
GUGCCAGCAGCCGCGGUAAUACGUAGGUGGCAAGCGUUAUCCGGAAUUAUUGGGCGUAAAGCGCGCGUAGGCGGUUUUUUAAGUCUGAUGUGAAAGCCCACGGCUCAACCGUGGGGGGUCAUUGGAAACUGGAAAACUUGAGUGCAGAAGAGGAAAGUGGAAUUCCAUGUGUAGCGGUGAAAUGCGCAGAGAUAUGGAGGAACACCAGUGGCGAAGGCGACUUUCUGGUCUGUAACUGACGCUGAUGUGCGAAAGCGUGGGGAUCAAACAGGAUUAG